Nelumbo nucifera (sacred lotus) is the source of this 1713-nucleotide non-coding RNA. The record is from RefSeq and is a predicted model, not a curated record. NCBI's taxonomy places the organism in Eukaryota, Viridiplantae, Streptophyta, Magnoliopsida, Proteales, Nelumbonaceae.
CUCCCACGCGCAAACUCAAUUUUGUAUUGCUUAGACUCCUGGGGUCCUUUCACACAAAAAGAAAAAGACACGCAGAGUCAUUCCAAUCCACAACUCAAAACACAUCUUCAUUCGAUACCUUUUCUUUGAACUUAAUCCUCAAUGUUAUAGUGUUAUUUUUCUCCACUGGGGUGAUUGAUUGUCUGCUCAAUCUCAGUUAUCUAUUCACCUUUCUUGAUUUUGGUCAUCACUUCAGUGCUAGUGCCAGAGCAAUUAGAAUUUUAAAGUUUAUAUUUCCUUAAAGUUGAAGCGUUGAUAUUAUCUGAAUUGUUUAAUCGAGUAAUCCAUUCAGUUCAAUAAAUUGAGCUAACACCAAACAAACCCUAAGUUUGAUUUUGAGUUGAGGUUUUCAUUUUGCCGUGAAAGAGUGGAGAAAAGGAGCUCUACUAUCAACUCAUUUGUCUCCAUUUUUUCAUAGGAUGUCUGCUCCACUAUUGCUUUUACAAUUCAGGUGGCAUCUUACUUCAAGCAUAAGCCUCUCCUUGCAACUUGCACCUCAAUCAGAGAGUUUUUCCAUGGUCUGAUGAAGCCUACUUCUMUGGAGCACAUAUAACAUAUGUCAUUCAAAAUCUUUAAGGGCUUUCGGGAACAUAUCACCUACUUAUUUUAGCUAAUUUGUUCAGACAUUGCUUGUAGUUGUCCACCAACAGAAGAGAGCUCAAGUACGUCUUUCAUGCUUAUCAACAACUCUGAACAUAAAUAUCUAUGUUGGUACAUUUGUUUUUUUUUUAUCCAAUUGUUUCAAAUAGAGAUAUAAGUACUAGGGAUUAUUUGUAGUGAAAAAAUAGAGAAUAAAUAAAGGAUGAAAAGAUUGAUUACUAGUGCCAUUGCUUUUUAAGUUUUAGAAUUGACCUUCUAAAGAAGUUGGCUUAGAGACAACUUUUAUAAAAACAUUUUAUUAUUUGAUUAUUUUAUCCAUUUAAAGAAAAAAAUUAAGUAAUUCAGUUCAGCAAUUUCAACCAUAGUUUUUAAAACCGAACCGGUUAGGGGUCCGAUUACUGGGUUGAACAGUCAGUACGUUCAGACAAAAAAUUAUAAAAAUUAUAAAAAUUAAAAAAUGAUCAAAACCGUUCAAACGGUUAACCGCCCGAGUCAACAGUUUUUUGAGAAAAUCCGGUUUUGGGAAAACCGAAAUUCACCUGGCCGUUUCCCAAUUUUUUUGGUCCGAUCGUCCGGUCUGGUCCGGUUUUGAAAACCAUGAUUUCAACUAUUAUGAAGCAGUUCCUUAGUCAAAGUUUUCUUAGCUAAAUGAGCACAAAUUAAGCCUAAAAGGUUCAACAUAGUUUAUGCUAAAGUUGGUUUAGGUAUUACAUAUCAAGCUCUUUUCAUUUUGCAAAUGUGUUGCUAUAUGCUAUAAGCUGAAGUAAUAAUGCAAAGUGGUUGCAAGGUUUAGUGGUAGCGUGCAUAAGAGGGAGUUGGAUGCGGACACCAAACAUUACACUCUUAUGGAUUAAUUGAGUGGUAAACAGGUUUAAUGUUGUGAGGAGGGAUGGAAACCAAAUAGCUCAUUUGGUGUCGAGCAAGGAUUUCCAAAUCUUUGAAGAAUGAGUCAUUGAUCCUCCAGCUUGGCUGUUUAAUAUGCUCACUUGAUGUUUCUUUUGGUAAAUUGUAUCUCUAUGUUAUGUUUUUUUUUAAUGAAAUUUCUAUUAAUAAAGACAAUUUGUAUUUUUUUGA